UGGCACAUUUGGAAGAAUCGAAACCUUUUCAUCUUUCAAAGUCUUUCUUGGAACGUUGAUGUAGUUAUCAAAGUUUCUUUAAGUUGGGCAAAACAAUUUACUUUUGUGGUGAAUCUGAGUAUAUCCAAGCCUUUAAAUAAGUCCGUUGUUCCUUUGACUAAUGGUUGGGUAAGAUUGAAUAUAGAUGGUUCGGUUAGAACAGAAGACGAGUUCGCUAUAGUUAGAGGGUUUUUUUGGGAUGAUAAUGAGAGAUGAAUUAUUGGCUUUACUAGGUAUUUGGGUAAUUAUUUUGUCCUUCGAUUCUGAGCUUUGGGGCAUUCUUGAUGUGUUGAAACUCGCUCUUAAUCGAAGAUUUGAAAGAGUUUUAAUUCAUAUAGAUAAUAUUGAAGCAAUUAAUGUUAUUCAAAAUGGAGGCCGAGAGCACCUCAUUCCGCCUUAGUAAGAGAAUUCAUUAUCUUUUGAAGCUCUUAAGUUAGUAGAGUAUCCAACAUAUCCCUCGAGAAGAGAAUAAAAUCGUAGAUGGAAUUGUUAAGACUAUCUGUGACAGAAGAACUGGGUUAAGAUUGUUAGAGGACCCCAUUUAGCUUUUGAUUUGUGUUUCUUUAAAAAAAAGUAUUAAUAUGAUUAUCAACACAUUAUCGUUGAUAUUGUUAAUUAUUAUUAAUUUUUUAAAUUAAUCAUAUUAAUCUUAUUAAUCCUAUUGAGUUGAACAGAUCAUUAUUGUUGAAGCAAGCUCGGGAUGCAGCAGACUGGCGAGCAUGUAUUCACAUCCUUAUUAAGACUUGUAACUAAUUGUCUCGCAUCCAUACAAUAACUUUCAAUAAUUACAAGCUAUAACCCUGUCGCCAAGCUUCUUCUAAACCCUCAACCAGCACCCAAAGCUCUGACACUAGGGCCGAUGAUAUCCCAAUGCAUCUGUUAAAUCCUGAAAUCCAAAAGUCGUAUAAGUCAUUGAGAACACCACCUAUAGCAGCCUUGCCGGUUGUCCUAUCAACUACUCCAUCCACUUUCACUUUAACCCAACAUCCAGAGGAAGACACCAACCACCCGUCUUAUUGUUUGAAUAUUUGUUCCUCAUACUCACAAAUGCCAUGGGAAGGAUCAUUGGUCAUUUGACUAUUGCAAUGUUUUCUUUUAACAAUUUCAUUAUAAAUUCUUAUCAUAUUUAUUUUGUAUUUUUUUAUAUUUAAAAUUUAGUUAUUUUAAUUUCUUUUUAAGAAAUUUAAUCUCUUUACUUUUUGAAAUAAAAAUGUAAGUCC
Molecule: long non-coding RNA, 1259 nt
Filed under: Gossypium barbadense (sea-island cotton)
Lineage: Eukaryota; Viridiplantae; Streptophyta; Magnoliopsida; Malvales; Malvaceae
Description: long non-coding RNA (GBAR_LNC002712)
Source: RNAcentral